AGGGGCGCUGGGCCACCCGGGACCGGUUUAGACCCAGUGUGAGUCUGAACCUGGUCCACUAGGACUUAAACAUCAGGCUUUCUCUGUUCAAA
This is a long non-coding RNA of Sinocyclocheilus rhinocerous, 92 nucleotides long. RefSeq lists it as uncharacterized. The record is from RefSeq and is a predicted model, not a curated record. The transcript is spliced from 3 exons. NCBI's taxonomy places the organism in Eukaryota, Metazoa, Chordata, Actinopteri, Cypriniformes, Cyprinidae.